Molecule: ribosomal RNA, 659 nt
Filed under: Rhodobacter sp. L544
Lineage: Bacteria; Pseudomonadati; Pseudomonadota; Alphaproteobacteria; Rhodobacterales
Description: bacterial SSU rRNA
Rfam family: Bacterial small subunit ribosomal RNA
Source: RNAcentral
UAACACAUGCAAGUCGAGCGAGAACUUCGGUUCUAGCGGCGGACGGGUUAGUAACGCGUGGGAACGUGCCCUUCACUACGGAAUAGUCCCGGGAAACUGGGUUUAAUACCGUAUACGCCCUUCGGGGGAAAGAAUUUCGGUGAAGGAUCGGCCCGCGUUAGAUUAGAUAGUUGGUGGGGUAAUGGCCUACCAAGUCUACGAUCUAUAGCUGGUUUUAGAGGAUGAUCAGCAACACUGGGACUGAGACACGGCCCAGACUCCUACGGGAGGCAGCAGUGGGGAAUCUUAGACAAUGGGCGCAAGCCUGAUCUAGCCAUGCCGCGUGAGUGAUGAAGGCCUUAGGGUCGUAAAGCUCUUUCGCCAGGGAUGAUAAUGACAGUACCUGGUAAAGAAACCCCGGCUAACUCCGUGCCAGCAGCCGCGGUAAUACGGAGGGGGUUAGCGUUGUUCGGAAUUACUGGGCGUAAAGCGCGCGUAGGCGGAUUAGAAAGUUGGGGGUGAAAUCCCAGGGCUCAACCCUGGAACUGCCUCCAAAACUACUAGUCUAGAGUUCGAGAGAGGUGAGUGGAACUCCGAGUGUAGAGGUGAAAUUCGUAGAUAUUCGGAAGAACACCAGUGGCGAAGGCGGCUCACUGGCUCGAUACUUACCCUGAUGUUCC